This is a non-coding RNA of Oryctolagus cuniculus (rabbit), 10662 nucleotides long. Lineage: Eukaryota; Metazoa; Chordata; Mammalia; Lagomorpha; Leporidae. The record is from RefSeq and is a predicted model, not a curated record.
GAGUGGACAGUGAGAGAGAGAGAAAGGUCUUCCUUUGCCGUUGGUUCACCCUCCAAUGGCUGCUGCGGCCGGCGUACCGUGCUGAUCUGAAGGCAGGAGCCAGGUGCUUCUCCUGGUCUCCCAUGGGGUGCAGGGCCCAAGCACCUGGGCCAUCCUCCACUGCACUCCCGGGCCACAGCAGAGAGCUGGCCUGGAAGAGGGGCAACCGGGACAGGAUCCGGCGCCCCAACCGGGACUAGAACCCGGUGUGCCAGCGCCGCAAGGCGGAGGAUUACCCUAGUGAGCCGCAGCGCCGGCCCAGAGCCAGUCUUACCACAGCUCUAGGCCACGGACGUCUUUGGAGGUGGCUAUGCCAAGACACUCACCCUGAAGACUGCCUGGAGACGACUGCACCAGGAUAUUUAAUGUGCGUGUCCUGCCGACUGCACCAACUGUCGUGAGCCCAGUAACUGCAUCCAGGCGGUGUUGGUUCCAGUGGGCAUUUUCAUUCACCCUUCCCAGUUCACACAGCACACGGGGCAGACCAGCCGCUCGAGGUUCCCAGCAUGCCCUCGGUGCUCCUCGCUGCGGAGAGCACUCGGGGCCCAUAGUGGGUCCUGAAGUGGGGCUGAGUGUCCACGUGGGGUGCUCGGAGUCCCGGUGUCAGGUGAGCGCAGGGCUGGCCGGGAGGCUGUCUCUCGCGGGAGGGCCUGAGUUAGCGGCUGGUCAGCCUGGGGGCCGGGUACCGCUCUCAGGAGGGUCUUUGCUUGCUGCCUGUCCAGCUUUAUUUGCCUCACCGUGGUCUCAGGGGUCAAAAAGGUGCAGCCUGCUGCGUGGGUGCCUUGUCGGGUGGUCACAGCUCAUCUGUGUGGGACGGAGCAGGCCAGGUUCUGGGUGCUCCUCUCAACACACUACGCCACAACACCGGCCCGAGUCCACGUCUUAAGUAACUUCUCCAUGCUGGUGGCCUGGGUUCCAUCAGGCAGAUCUGGGCGAUAAAGCGAGGACAAGACAAAGCCAGGUGUUCCAAAACCGUCCCCUCAUACUGCCAAGGGCUGGCUGAUGGCUGAGCCGAGCCUGCCAUGAUUGGGACCACUCCCGGAUGGGGUCAGGUGGCCUUGGGAAGUGUCACAGAUGUGCUAGGCAGAAGUGGCGGAUUCUUUGAUCUCAAUAGUGAGACAACUUUUACAAAACUACUUCACAACUCCAGAGUUGGUGGGCGGAGGUGGUGGUGUAGCACAGUAGGUCAAGCCUCCAUCUGCCACCCCGGCAUCCCCGGUGAGCAUGGGCUCGUGUCCCGGCUGCUCUACUUCUGAUCUAACUCACUGCUGAUGUGCCUGGAAAAGCGGCAGAAAAUGGCCCAAACACUUGGGCUCCUGCGCCCAUGUGGGAGACCCAGAGGAGUAGUUCCAGGCUCUUGUCUUCUUCCAGCCCAACUCCAGCCAUUUUGGCCAUUUGUGGAGUGAACCAGUGGAUGGAAGAUCUCUCUCUUUCUUUCUCUGUUAACUCUACCUUUUAAAGAAAUAAACCCUUAAAAAAUAUAUCCUGGCAGGGCUUGGAGAGGAGUUGGGCGUUUGGAGCAGAGGUUAAGACACAACUUGGGGGGCUGGUGCUGUGGUGUAGUGGGUAAAGCCGCUGCCUCGAGUGCUGACAACCCAUAUGGGUGCUGGUUCAAGUCCUGGCUGCUCCACUUACAAUCCAGCUCUCUCCUAUGGCCUGGGAAAGCAGUAAAAGAUGGCCCAAGUCCUUGGGACCCUGCAUCACGUGGGAGACCUGGAGGAAGCUCCUGGCUCCUGGCUUCAGAUCAGCAUAGCUCCGGCCAUUGCAGCCAACUGGGGAGUGAACCAGCGGAUAGAAGACCUCUCUCUCUCUCUUUGCCUCUCUUUCUCUCUCUCUGUAAUUCUGACUUUCAAAUAAAUAAAUACAUCUUUUAAAAAAAAGGACACAACUUGGGAGAGCCACAUGCCAUAUCCCAGUGCCCACUCCUUUGCUCCUGAUCUGCAGUAGGCGUCCUAAUGCACACCCCGGGAGACAGCAGAUGAUGGCUCGAGUACUAGGGUCCCUGCUACCCACGUGGGGGACCCAGAUGGAGAUCUGCUUCCUUUCUUCCACUGUGAGUGAGCAAAUGGAAGAUCUCUCACUGUUUGUCUCUCUGCCUUUCAAAUAAAAAAUGAAAAUAAAUACAUGAAAUUUAAAAACUCUUGCCAGUAAACAUAUUUGGAUAGUGAAACCGUUCAUAAUGCAGGCUUAUAGCUACCAAGUUUCAGAUAUGGGGAAAUUAGCUAUUUCUGUCAAAGUAUAAUUUUAAAAAUGUAGAAGAAGCAUGUGUAAGAGAUGUAGUUAAUUCAUUAAUUAAGGGUCCGGCAUUGUAGUGUAGUGGAUAAAGCCACCAUCUGUGACCAGCAACCCCUGUGGACACUGGUUUGAGUCCCAGUGGCUCCACUUCCUAUCCAGCUUCCUGCUAAUGAACCUGGGAAGGCAGUGGAAGAUGGCCUAAGGAAGCUUGGGCCCCUGUCACCCCUGUGGGAGACCGGGAUGAAGCUCCCUGCUCAUGGCUUCAGCCUGGCCUGGCCCCGGCCAUUUGGCCAUUUGGGGAGUGAAACAGCAGGUGGAAGAUCCCUCUCCCUCCCCCUUGCUCUGCUGUAACUCUGACUUUCAAAUAAAUAAAUAGAUCUUCAAAGAUAUUUAUUAAUUGCGGAACCAGCAGGAUGGUAAAGUAAAACUUGAAACACCUGUUUAUAUAAUCAGUGUAAAAAAGCAAUAUCCAAAUAGAUUGCAAAGCAAGAACAAAUCUGGUUAACGUUCUACAACCAUACUCUCUGGAACAGUUGUUUUUUUCAACUGGACAAAUGAUUUGCAUCUCCACCUUUGGUCCAUUAAACUCUCCAGGAGACCUUGCAAGGCAAACAUGGCUUCCGUGGCCCUGUGGAUGGGGGCCGGAGGGGAGGGCCCCUUCUCAGCCACAGGGAGCCACUGUGAGCUGGGUAGAUUCUCCAUCUGAGCAUAAAAAUCAGCGUCCAGGCUGAGGACGUCGGGUCCUGGGCUGAGGGCCGUGGCGAGCCAUUGAAGGUGCGGUUGGCACCCCUGGCGCCCAGGUCUCCAUGCAGUCACAGACUCCCAGCACGGCCUGGGCAUGUGACACCCCGCUUAGGAGCACAGAAGACAGGAGUCCAGUCCAGGCCACCCAGAGCUGUCCUCCCUGCCGUGUUGGACGUCCAAGUCCUCCUGGGGAACACGCUGGGAAGAAGUGACCCGUCUCCCGACACGCGGCUCGACACCGGGCACUCCGAACGUUUGUUGAAUGGUGGAUGAGCUAUUGAAAGUUCCCAUGCUUUCCACAGCGGCAUUCUCAAGCUACUUCUCUGUUUUUCAUCCACCUGGUUCUCUUUUAUGCCGGGGUCAUCCGUCUCAGGCGUCGGACAUGAGGAGUCACAGGAAACACCUCACAGCAUCCUGCCCUGGAGGUAGACUCGCUUCCAGACACGGAGCAGCAUCGGAUCCUGCGGUUCUCACGCGGUCAGUCUCCCUGUCUGUGAGCGCUGUGUCUGUGGACUCGGCCAACCCCGGUGCAAGACAUCAGGAGAGGAGGCUGCGUCUGUGCACGGCACGUGCAGACUUGCCUUGUCGCGAUUCCCUAAACCACGCGGCAGAGCAACCAUUUCCGAAGCACUUACCUCGUGUUGGGUGCUCCAGGGAACCGGGGGGCUCUCUGAAGUACAUAGGUUAUAGGCAGACACCCUGCCACUCUGUGGAAGGGACUUGGGUGUCCGUGGACUUGGCACCUACCGGGUCCUGGAAGCCAUCCCCUGUGGAUACCCUAGACAACUGGACAUUGGUAAGGCUUUCUGGAGCACUGGUCUUUGCUGUUCCAUGCAGUCCGAGCAGACAGCCGCGGGUAUUCUUGAGCCCCAAUCCACACCUCAGAUAUCUGAGACCAGAGUUAACGCAAAUCCACACUCAGAAAGCUACCAGCUUUAAAACUGGGUUGUCACGACUGCGCAGGGCCAUGAAGGACCUGGUGUACACGCGGGACAAAGUGCGUUUGGGAUCCAGCAGGCUCCCGUGCCCCCCUGUGUCCCGCACCCCAAAUCCUGCCCUAUGCAGUUGGUAGUGGUGUUUUAAAAUCAGUUUUACACUAUGGGGGUACUUGUGUUUGCAAUUUAAUUUUUUUAGGGGCAGGCAGAGAAAGAGAGAAAGGACAGAGAGCUCCCAUACUCCAGUCCACACCCCAAAUAGCUGCAACGGCCGGGGGCUGAAGCCAGGGGCAGGGACAAGGCAAACGGCUUCCCUUUGUUUUCGAUGUUAGUAGAUGUUACCGUGGUUUGACACACUGGACGCCAAGAGGACACCAAAACAAAGUUAGUUAUCCGUCAGUCUACCACUCCCCCCCCGCCAAGCCAGGAGUGCCAAGUCCCACGUGUCCCUCUGCUGCCACCUAGUGGGGACAGUGUGAAUGCAACUGCACGGUCCACUGGAAGAGUUUUGAACCAAGCUGCCAUUCUCUCUAAUUCUCUAAUUUGACUAAAAUGAACAUAUUUUAACUCUCAACUCUUAUGAAUAUCCUUUAAAAAGUCCAUAUGCUGUAGGGAUAGUGUAUUUUGACUUUUAAAAACCUAGAAACUCUGCCAGCAAUUUAGAGUGCAAGUCUCUUAAUAAUGCCGCUGUAUUUAUCCAAAAAUGUCUCUGGUUCAUGAGCACUUAAACUCCAUUGUAUCCCCUGGGUGCAGCCACCUGAAAGCUAGGGGCUGCCCAAGCACACCUACUGGGCGAUCGAUAGCUUUUUGUUAAUUGCUUCUGGAAGGAUUUUUUUAAAAAAAGAUUUAUUUAUUUAUUUGAAAGUCAGAGAAGAGACAGAGAGAAAGACCUUCCAUUCUCUGGUUCACUCCCUAGAUGUCCACAGCAGCCAGGGCUGGGUCAGGCUGAAGCCAGGAGCUUCAUCCAGGUCUCCUACAUGGUUGCAGGGACCCAAGCACUUGGUCCAUCUGCUGCUGUGUUCCCAGGCUCAUUAGCAGGGAGCUGGAUGGGAAGUGGAGCAGCCAGGACUCUAAUCGGUGUCCACAUGGGAUGCUGGUGCUUUACCUGCUAACCCACAAUGUUGGCCCCCUGAUGUCUGGUGAUAUUUCCAGUUGUGAGGAAGAGAGACAGAAGGGACAUGGCAUUCUGGCUGCUGAUGGCAGUGGAGGGGCAGGGGCUGGCCUGUCUCAUGGGUGGCCUGGGUUGGGCUGCAGCUGUGUGGUGUGGUCUCUUCCCGCUGCUGUCCAAAAUGCCACAUGGUUGGAGGCCCUGAUUCCUGCAGAUGGGUGAGGUGGGCAUUGGCGGGCUGAGAAGGGUCACAGCAAGCCCGAGGUGGGGGCAUUUCAUGCCACAGCUGCCCACCUGCUCCCCAUUUUUCCUUCUGUACCACACGCGACCCGUCCCAGAAACCUUGCUGGAAGGAAGGCAGUAAGCAGGAGCCGACUUCAGGUCUUGGGGCAAAAGAUCUGGACAAUACUGCUGAAGAUAAGCCCAGUGUGUUAGGAGAGAGAGAGAGAGAGAGAGAGAGAGAGAGAUAGAUAGAUAGAGAGAGAUAGAGAUAGAGAUAGAGAUAUAUAGAGAGAGAUAGAGAGAGAGAGAUAGAGAUAGAGAGAGAUAGAGAGAGAUAGAGAUAGAGAGAGAUAGAGAUAGAUAGAGAGAGAUAGAGAUAUGUAGAGAUGUAGAUAGAGAUACAGAGACAGAGAAGGACAGAGACAGAACUGUAGAUACAGAUGGUGUAGAGAUAAAGGUAGAAAUAAAGAGUGCACCUACGGGGUCGGCUGGUUCAAUUGCAGAAGCUCGGCAGGUUCCGAGCCAGUAGGCGGGGACUCGGGAGAGCUGCAGUGUGAUGUGGGAGCUGUCCUCCCCCAGGGGUGCUUCCUGUUCAGGAGAGCUCCAUCUGUGCAAGUCAGGCCACCGCUGGCCGGUGAGGCCCGGCUGCAUUGCGGAGGGCACCCUGCUCUCUCGGCCCACUGAGCACACGUUGGAAGGAAGGGAGGACUCGUGUGGUCAUUUCUGCUGCUGCUCGUUCGUACUUGGAGGUGGGUGGGAUGCAGGGUAGGAAGACCCUGGGAAGUCUCGGAAGACCUUCAAGUUGAACGUGACCCAGACUGAGCUGCCUCCAUCCUGCUCCCUGUUGCUUCUCCCCUGACACACACUCAGCCACCAAGCCAGGAACCCCGUUCCCAUCUCUGGCUGCCCUCUCCCCCUUCCCAUGUUCAGCCAUCAAGUCCUAAGGUCCCACCCUUGUGGAGCUCUUGCCUUGUCCCUGUGCCUCCUUGCGCCUGCCCAGUUCCUUAGCACUCACCGCCUGGAGCCCACAGUUGCUUCCUGAUAGAUCCCCCCUCUCCUGGCCAGUUCUCUCUCCACCAGGGGCCUUCUGCAACGCUGGUCUCAUUGGUCAGCUCCCUGCUCACACCAUCCCGAGGUGCUGCAGGCUGUCCCCACGAAGCUAAGCUGCAAAGUGGCCCCGGAAGUUCUGGGCUCUCCCUUGCCUCCCCUUCCUGCUUAGUUUUGACCCUCCCUGACGUGAGACCUUGGCUCCGGUCAUACAGGACAGCUGUUUCUCCACCAAGCUGCAAAGACCUCCCCUUGCUCCCCGCUUUGCUGGGCAUUCCUUGUUUUGUGAUCAGCACUUCUGCCUCCCAAUUAUUUUUAAAAAGUGUUUAUUCAUUUAUUUUCUUCUACUUAAAAGGCAGAGUCACACCCGCACACACACACACAGAGUUCAACAUAUAUAAAUACAGAUGGAUAGAUGAUAGAAUGAUUAGUCUUCCAUCUGCUGAUGCACUCCUCAAAUGCCAGCAACAGCCAGGACUGGACCACGCCAAAGCUAGGAGCCAGAAACUCCAUCUGGUUUUCCCACGGUGGGUGGCAGGGACCCAAGCACUUGGGCCAUCAUCUGCUGCCUCCAAGAGGCAUUAGCAGGGAGCUGGAUGGGAAGUGGAGCAGCUGGGACUUGAACUGGCACUCCAGUAUGGGAAGUGUCUGUCCCCAGGGGCAGCCUAACUCACUGUGCCACAACAUCCACCCCUUUCAACUCUUUUUUUUUUUUUUAAGAUUUAUUUAUUUAUUUGAAAGGCAGAGUUACAGAGAGGCAGAGAGAGAGAGAGGACUUCCAUCCAAUGGUUUACUUCCCAGAUGGCUGCAACAGCCAGAGGUGUGCCAAUCUGAAGCCAGGAGUUUCUUUCAGGUCUCCCACACAGGUACAAGGGCCCAAGCAAUUGGGCAAUUGGGCCAUCCUCUACUGCUUUCCCAGGCCAUAGCAGAGAGCUGGAUCAGAAAUGGAACAGCCGGGACUUGAACCGGUGCCCAUAUGGGUUGCUGGCGCUAGAGGCUGAGGCUUUAACCUGCUGCACCAGAGCGCUGGCCCCACCCCUUUCAACUCUUUAGGGGGCAUUUUCUCUCUGCUACUGUUUGCAGGGUUGUGAGUGGGCCACUUGUAGGCACUGCCUUCCCCUUAUGAAGAAUAACCUCACGAGUCCACCCAAAGGAUGGACUCAGACCUAGGAAAAGGAUGGACUCAGACCCAGGAAGUGCACAGAGACUGACGCUUUAACGGUCUUGCAAGAUCGGGUGUCUGGUGGCCAGUGUACCCGGGAUGAUUGACAGCAAGCUGUUUAUGUCCUAGCAUGCAGGUCCCUCCCCCAGCUCCUCCGUGGCCAGUACUGUGGCAUUAGGAUCUUCCUGCAUUUGCUUCCCCUGUUUUGGCCACUCCUAACAUCCUGUUUGCCUACGACUUUCCAGGUGCAUGUAGCCUAGCUGUUGCGCUAGUCGGCUACGUGUGACACCUGUAAGCUGCUAUGUUAGCUAGUUGUCUACUCAGCUAAAUGCCUCACUUGCAAAAUGAACCACAUGUUCAAUUCUCACGAUGUCAUCUCUAUCUCUUUUUACAGUUUUGGGUCUUGCUUUCAUUUUUAUUUUGAUGACCUUCAGGUAUUUUGUGGAAUGCCAGGGGGAAGGGAAUGACCAGUAGAACUAAGCACAAGUCCCGGUCCAGCUGGACAGGAACAGGACACGGAGGUUCCUCUUUGCACAGUGCUGCCAGACAUCAGCCCGGGGGUCUAAGGAGGGCUGAGUAGUUCCUGCCGUCAGGGUCACAGUAACAUUAAGAGGCUCCUGGAGGCCCACAGUUCUCCCACGGGCGUAUUGAACUUGGCCUGCAGCCUGGAGAGGCGGGAGAAAUUGUUCGUCUUCCCCAUGGGGAAAGAGGGCGUUGCCCUAACGCCUGACCUUUGCGGCAUGGGGGAACACAGCACCAGGCUUCUUCAAGUCUUGUCUCCCGGCCUCCUUGUCCCUGGCGUGGAGCCAGCAUGCGUCGGGACCCUGUCCCAUCCUGGGGAAACGCAGCCACCUGUGCCUGAGGGGAGGCCUACACUGGAAAGCUGACUGCUCCUACCCAGGCGUUCCUGUCUGCACACCCCAUCUCAGUGUGUGUCCCAGCUGCUCCCUCCCACAGUCCAUACGAAUUUUUGAGGACUGAGCGAACUCGUAGUUAACUUGUUCAAGGUCAGGUUUAAGGGCUCUUUGGGUGAUCCACACGCUUCCACUGGUCUUUCUUCCCCUCUUGGGGUCUUGCUUACCAGUCCCUGUGAGCAGUUCCUACGGUGGCCUCCGUGGUCAGGAGCACCUGGUAGGGCCCUUCCCAACUGGGGUGAAACUUGGCUUCCUUCCAGGUCCUGCGCGGUGGAAAGUGAGGAGCUGCGGGCCUGGGAGGCGGAGUCUGGGCGAGGGAGGAGGCGGAGUCUGGGCGAGGGAGGAGUCCUGUUAACCCGAGGGAUGAGAUCUCUCCUGCCCUAGGCAUUUCACAGCCCCUGCACACCCACCCUGUGCUGAUGCAGCUGCCCACACACCUCGUCCCUAAGGACUGCAUCACACAGAGCUUGGGGACCCCAGUGGCUCCCCUGACGUAAUAUGGAGAUGAUGAGCACAACAUAGACUGGGCAUCCUUCUAGAGCUCACAAGUAUUUUCAGUGGUUCACACCAUUUGGCCCAAAUAAAACACUCCAUUUUUUAAAAAAAAUAUUUUAUUUAUUUAUUUAUUUGAGAGGUAGAGUUACAGAUAGUGAGAGGGAGAAACAGAGAGAAAGGUUUUCCUUCCAUUGGUUCACUCCCCAAAUGGCCGCAAUGGCUGGAGCUGCGCUGAUCUGAAGCCAGGAGCCCGGUGCUUCUUCCCAGUCUCCCACAUGGGUGCAGGGGCCCGAGGACUUGGGCCAUCUUCCACUGCUUUCCCAGGCCACAGCAGAGAGCAGGAUAGGAAGAGGAGCAGCUGGGACUAGAACCAGCACCCAUAUGGGAUGCCGGCACUGCAGGCAGAGGAUUAACCUACUGCGCCACAGCGCCAGCCCCCAAAACACCCCAUUUGAGAUUCAGUUUUCCCUAACAAUCAAGACCCAAUAACUGCAAAAGAAAAGCACAUGCCACCUUUACCUAGGUUAGUCACAAAAGCACAGCAAAACUUUAAUUAGCUUGUGACAUUAGCAUCCGGAAACAAAGAGGUAGAUCAGGUACUCCAGCUCUUCGGACCUCUAAGACCCACCUGGUCUCACGCAGCAUUUAACUUCCGUACCCCUUUGAUGACAUUCCUUCAGUUUCUCUUUGUAUCCUAACCUCUUGCACCAAGAAUUCAUUCUAUGCUUACGGCUUUCUUACCCAAAAGUUGCAACCUGGAGGUCACAGGCAAACCUUAAGCCUGGAAGACGAAGCGUGUAAGCAUCCUCUCUGGUAAGCUGGGCCUUCAUGUUACUGUUCUCCGCUGCGGGCUGUCAGUCCCCUCUGUCUGGAUUCUUUAAUUCCAAAGCUCGAGUCGGAGCAUACAGUUCACGUGAGGAUCAAGCAAUUCGCUCCCUCUGUGCUGGCUGUAAACCCGUUCCCCCUUACCUUUGUUCGUCCCUGGUCUCCUAAUCCUACGCCUAAACUCAGGAUCAGGUCUCAGCCCAGCAGAUCCAGCCCUGCUGCGGGUGUUUACAGAAAUGAGCCCUGCGCGUUGUUGUCCCAGGUAUUGGCUCCCUCAGAAGCGGGGGGUGGGGGGUGGGGAAUCAUCCUUUCUUCUUCAUCCUCUGGACAGGUCCUGUCUUCCUCCCCCGGGUGUCCUCUGACCGUUUCAGGAGCCCCUGUCUGCGUUUCCCUCCUAGCCGCCGUUGGCAUUUGGGCUUUCCCCACCCUUUUUCUUUUCUUUUUUUUUUUUAACUUUUAUUUAAUAAAUAUAAAUUUCCAAAGUACAGUUUAUGGAUUACAAUGGCUUCCCCCCCCAUAACUUCCCUCCCACUCGCACCCCUCCCAUCUCCCGCUCCCUCUCCCCUUCCAUUCACAUCAAGAUUCAUUUUCAAUUCUCUUUAUAUACAGAAGACUAAUUUAGUAUAUAUUAAGUAAAGAUUUCAUCAGUUUGCACCCACACAGAACAUAAAUUGUAAAAUACUGUUUGAGUACUAGUUAUAGCAUUAAUUCAUAUUGUACAACACAUGAAGGACAGAGAUCCUACAUGAGGAGCAAGUGCACAGUGACUCCUGUUGUUGACUUAACAAAUUGACACUCUUGUUUAUGGCAUCAGUAAUCACCCUAGGCUCUUGUCAUGAGCUGCCAAGGCUAUGGAAGCCUUUUGAGUUCACCAACUCCGAUCUUAUUUAGACAAGGUCAUAGUCAAAGUGGAAGUUCUCUGCUCCCUUCAGAGAA